Molecule: ribosomal RNA, 468 nt
Filed under: uncultured bacterium
Lineage: Bacteria
Description: partial 16S ribosomal RNA
Rfam family: Bacterial small subunit ribosomal RNA
Source: RNAcentral
GACGAACGCUGGCGGCGUGCUUAACACAUGCAAGUCGAACGGAAAUGCCCUGCUUUUGUGGGGUGCUCGAGUGGCGAACGGGUGAGUAACACGUGAGUAACCUGCCCUUGACUUUGUGAUAACUUCAGGAAACUGGGGCUAAUACCGGAUAGGAUCUCCUGCUGCAUGGUGGGGGUUGGAAAGUUUCGGCGGUUGGGGAUGGACUCGCGGCUUAUCAGCUUGUUGGUGGGGUAGUGGCUUACCAAGGCUUUGACGGGUAGCCGGCCUGUGAGGGUUACCGGCCACCUUGGGACUGAGAUACGGCCCAGACUCCUACGGCAGGCAGCAGUGGGGAAUAUUGCACAAUGGGCGGAAGCCUGAUGCAGAAACGCCGCGUGCGGGAUGACGGCCUUCGGGUCGUAAACAGCUUUCGCCUGUGACGAAGCGUGAGUGACGGUAAUGGGUCAAGAAGCACCGGCUAACUCCGUG